GAUGAACGCUAGCGGGAGGCCUAACACAUGCAAGCCGAGCGGUAGAGUCUCUUCGGAGACUUGAGAGCGGCGCACGGGUGCGGAACACGUGUGCAACCUGCCUUUAUCUGGGGGAUAGCCUUUCGAAAGGGAGAUUAAUACCCCAUAAUAUAUCAGAUGGCAUCAUUUGAUAUUGAAAACUCCGGUGGAUAGAGAUGGGCACGCGCAAGAUUAGAUAGUUGGUGAGGUAACGGCUCACCAAGUCUGCGUAUCUUUAGGGGGCCUGAGAGGGUGAUCCCCCACACUGGUACUGAGACACGGACCAGACUCCUACGGGAGGCAGCAGUGAGGAAUAUUGGACAAUGGGUGAGAGCCUGAUCCAGCCAUCCCGCGUGAAGGACGACGGCCCUAUGGGUUGUAAACUUCUUUUGUAUAGGGAUAAACCUAGAUACGUGUAUCUAGCUGAAGGUACUAUACGAAUAAGCACCGGCUAACUCCGUGCCAGCAGCCGCGGUAAUACGGAGGGUGCAAGCGUUAUCCGGAUUUAUUGGGUUUAAAGGGUCCGUAGGCGGAUCUGUAAGUCAGUGGUGAAAUCUCACAGCUUAACUGUGAAACUGCCAUUGAUACUGCAGGUCUUGAGUGUUGUUGAAGUAGCUGGAAUAAGUAGUGUAGCGGUGAAAUGCAUAGAUAUUACUUAGAACACCAAUUGCGAAGGCAGGCUACUAAGCAACAACUGACGCUGAUGGACGAAAGCGUGGGGAGCGAACAGGAUUAGAUACCCUGGUAGUCCACGCCGUAAACGAUGCUAACUCGUUUUUGGUUUUUCGGAAUCAGAGACUAAGCGAAAGUGAUAAGUUAGCCACCUGGGGAGUACGUUCGCAAGAAUGAAACUCAAAGGAAUUGACGGGGGCCCGCACAAGCGGUGGAUUAUGUGGUUUAAUUCGAUGAUACGCGAGGAACCUUACCAAGGCUUAAAUGGGAAAUGACAGGUUUAGAAAUAGACUUUUCUUCGGACAUUUUUCAAGGUGCUGCAUGGUUGUCGUCAGCUCGUGCCGUGAGGUGUUAGGUUAAGUCCUGCAACGAGCGCAACCCCUGUCACUAGUUGCCAUCAUUAAGUUGGGGACUCUAGUGAGACUGCCUACGCAAGUAGAGAGGAAGGUGGGGAUGACGUCAAAUCAUCACGGCCCUUACGCCUUGGGCCACACACGUAAUACAAUGGCCGGUACAGAGGGCAGCUACACAGCGAUGUGAUGCAAAUCUCGAAAGCCGGUCUCAGUUCGGAUUGGAGUCUGCAACUCGACUCUAUGAAGCUGGAAUCGCUAGUAAUCGCGCAUCAGCCAUGGCGCGGUGAAUACGUUCCCGGGCCUUGUACACACCGCCCGUCAAGCCAUGGAAGUCUGGGGUACCUGAAGUCGGUGACCGUAACAGGAGCUGCCUAGGGUAAAACAGGUAACUAGGGCUAAGUCGUAACAAGGUAGCCGUACCGGAAGGUGCGGCUGGAACAUCUCAUUUUAGAGCGUCUUUUGACGAUAAAAAAAACAGUACGCAAGUACAAAAUACU
RNAcentral lists this ribosomal RNA (1540 nucleotides) under Chryseobacterium sp. StRB126. RNAcentral describes it as "bacterial SSU rRNA". It matches the Rfam family "Bacterial small subunit ribosomal RNA". Lineage: Bacteria; Pseudomonadati; Bacteroidota; Flavobacteriia; Flavobacteriales; Weeksellaceae. The record is from RNAcentral.